CGCGAACUUAUCCAAGUUGCUUCGGCGGCGCGGUACCCCUCACAGGGCGCCGCAGCCUCGCCUCUUAGGAGGUAUGGGGCACCCGCCGGAGGUACGAAACUCUGUAUUAUAGUGGCAUCUCUGAGUAAAAAACAAAUAAGUUAAAACUUUCAACAACGGAUCUCUUGGUUCUGGCAUCGAUGAAGAACGCAGCGAAAUGCGAUAAGUAAUGUGAAUUGCAGAAUUCAGUGAAUCAUCGAAUCUUUGAACGCACAUUGCGCCCGCUAGUACUCUAGCGGGCAUGCCUGUUCGAGCGUCAUUUCAACCCUCAAGCUCUGCUUGGUGUUGGGGUCCUACGGCUGCCGUAGGCCCUGAAAAGAAGUGGCGGGCUCGCUACAACUCCGAGCGUAGUAAUUCAUUAUCUCGCUAAGGAGGUGCAGCGUGCUCCUGCCGUUAAAGACCCCAUCUUUAACCAAGGUU
Molecule: ribosomal RNA, 459 nt
Filed under: Coniochaeta sp. GL6-9-4
Lineage: Eukaryota; Fungi; Ascomycota; Sordariomycetes; Coniochaetales; Coniochaetaceae
Description: eukaryotic LSU rRNA
Rfam family: 5.8S ribosomal RNA (bases 145-298)
Source: RNAcentral